Long non-coding RNA from Equus caballus (horse), 4321 nucleotides. RefSeq lists it as uncharacterized. The record is from RefSeq and is a predicted model, not a curated record. Lineage: Eukaryota; Metazoa; Chordata; Mammalia; Perissodactyla; Equidae.
UUGCUGGUGGAGGGUCUUGCCUUGAUGUUGAUGGCUGCUGACUGAUCGGGUAGUUGCUGAAGGUUGGGGUGGUUGUGGCAAUUUCUUGAAAUAAGCCAACAAUGACUUCACGCAUUGAUUGACCCUUCCUUUCAUGAAUGAUAUCUCUGUAGCUUCAACGCUGUUUGAUAGCAUUACCCAUAGUAGAAUUUCUUUCAAAAUUGGAGUCAGCCCCCUCAAAACCUGCUGCUGCUUUAUCAACUAAGUUUGUAGCAUUCUGAAUGCUUUGUUGUCAUUUGAACAAUCUUCACCAGGUGUAGAUUCCAUCUCAAGAAACCGCUUUCUUUGCUCAUCCGUAAGAAGCAGCUCCUGAUCUGCUAAGUUUUACCCUGAGAUCGCAGCACACCUUCAGGUUCCACUUCUAAUUCUAGUUCUCUUGCUAUUUCUACCACCUUUGCAGUUACUUCCUCCACUGAAGUCUUGAGUCCCUCAAAGUCACCUAUGAAGGUUGGAAUUAACUUCUUCCAAGCUCUUGUUAAUGUUAAUAUUUUGACCUCUCCCCGUGAAUCACAGAUGCUCUUAACGGCAUCUAGAAUGGUAAAUCCUUCCCAGGAGGUUUUCAAUGGACUUUGUCCAGAUCCAUCAGAGGAAUCACUAUCAGUGGCAGCUAUAGGCCUACAAAAUGCAUUUCUUAGAAGAGAGAGUCAAGCACAGAAGUUUCAUUCAGAGGCAUUGGCUAGUCUUCACAGGAGAUGCUUACUUUGGUACAGCCAGUGCAUGGUAACUCCCCUCUGUCUAGCAACUUUAUACUCAAAAUGUUCUAUUAUAAGGUUAAGUUGAAGAACAUUCUGUUCCACUAAGAUAUCUUAAAGAAGUUUACAAUUCAAGGUAGCAAUAAUCCUAAACCUAGCAACCUGAGGCAGAGGACACUUUCCCUCUUGCUAGGUCAUAAAGUAAGUCACUAUAGCAACUCUACAUCUGAAUUGAAGCUACAUGGUAAGUGUCCAGUGCCAUUAUCUGAAAUGACCUGAAAGUCACAAGGUCAGUGUCAGAUAUGGAAACCAGGGCAUUAAAGCACACCUUUUGUCUACAUUGACAUGCGACCGAUGUUACCAACCAAGGAGAGCAUCUCCCUAGCAAACUGAGUUCAAUGAAGAUAUCACCGAGAGCAGCAGAAAAUAGAAUCACGUGGUACUGACUAGCAGGAUGAGCUGGGAGAUUAUAUUCAAGAGAGGACAAGAGAAAACAAAGAAACAAGAAACCAAGAAAUGAGAUCAUAUCAGAUAUUGAAAGGUGCCAAGAAAGAAAAUAACAUCAGAUAAGGAGAUUCAGAAGACUGGGAGAAAACUUUUGGGACACACUUCGAUGUUACCUUCUGCUCUCCUUGUGGCAAGUUGUCAGGGUGAGGUUAUAAUUGAUGCUGUCUCUCAAGCUGGCUGUGACUUAUUGUCCACUGCAGAGUUGAGCUCACAGCAUUUGGCCAUUUGUUAUAAAUUCAUACAAAGUUUCACAAGAUAUUUCCCAACCAAGUUGCACAUUAAAACAUACUCUUGCCUCAUCUCCACACUUAAACAUGAAGUCAGAAUUUCCUGGAAGUGAGGACUGGGCAUCAGUGUUUUGGGAAAGUUCUCCAGGUCAUUUCAAUGUGCAGCUGUAUCAAUCACAGUGUUAAUACCUCGUUGGCACUCAGAGAAAACUGGAGUGUUUGAGAGGCUUUUGUACAUAAGAAGAAAACUAGCCAAUUCACUACCAAACUGCAAAAGCACCAACAUCACAACUGUUACUCCUCUUGCAAUGGCAGUGUCAAUGUCCUUUAAAUCACAGACGAUGUUUUAGAGCCAGGUAUUAUCAACAAUGGUACAAUUUAAAUAAAGCCCAUUUGUUGGAACACUCAAAGAUGUUGUCAAUCUGACCAUUUACCUGUGUCUGAUUUAUUUAGUGGAAAAAAAAAAAGCAUCAAGUGUUCUAGUGAACUGUAAUCUUCUUAUGCCAUUUCCUGAAAGGAAUAAAAGGCAACAAAAAACAAUUACACUGAAACAAUGCUCUGACCUCAAUAAUCACACACUGAAAAUACUUUUAUCUGGGAAAAGCCAUUAGAAGAAACCAUGAACAAGGUGAAACAGCUUUUGUGUGUUUUAGAUAAUAGUAACUCAGCAGGACCACAAAAGUAAAGCCCUAUUAAAUCUACUUCACAUUCUACAAUUCUUGCUUCUUUACAGAGUAACUCUUUACUCCUGGUUUCAAAACUUUCUGUUCUCAACCCAGAAUGCAAUAAUAUAGCCAUCUAUACAGACUUUAUGAGCAUUUCAUUUUUCACUAGGAUACUCUAUGAGUCCAUUACAAAUAUACCAAGGUGUAUUUUACCGAUAGAAAUAAUAACUAAUUUUGUUUCUGAUUAUUUCUAACAUGCCAGGGAUUGACUAGGCAUUUGAAGGAGGCCAAGAGCAAAGUUGUCUUGGCUUGAGCCCACCACCCCUGGGCCUCAUGCUGCCCUUUUUCCACCCCCAUUAGUUACAGCCUCUUCGCUUCUUAUCUCAUAAGAACACAAAACUCAUCGAGUCCUGUCUUUUCUGGAAAACCGUGGCUCUGAAAGCCUCUCUUUCUCUGUAUUUCCUUCCUCCUCCCCUCAUAAAGCUUUCCUUUAGCUAGCUAACAUCGGGAAAGAAUAGAAUCCUUUAAAAUAAAUUAAAAUUCUUCAAAAAAGUCACAAAAUAAUAUUAAAAAUAAUUGAGGAAAUGAAGAGGAAAAUUUCAUAUAAUUCACCAGCCUAAUAAAGCACGAAUCAUCAUAUUUUUUUGUUUGUGUCUCUGUGUCAUAUUCAUGAAUAGUUUUAUGUAUCUUUUCAAUUGAGUCCCCUUUCCCUGCAAUCUUUCUCCCUCUCCCCAUAACCUUUGGUUAUACAGCUGGUUAAUGGUGAAAAUAAAACUCUAAUAAUUUCAGAUUGACUCCUAAUCUGCCAUUUUCCCCCCUUGCAUUUUCAGUUUCUAGUUAUGUCUUUGAAGUUACAACAGAAAUUGAGAGCUUGUUUAGAGGUUCUACCUGAGAGCUUUCAGCUAAUCAUUUCACUAAACUGAAGAAUGACCUAUUCUAUCAGGCAAUUUCAUCCUAAUUUCCCAAAUCUGCAGCUGAAAGAGGGGCACAUAUGGAGCAUGGAAAGAGGCCUAUUGCACUGUCUCUGCUGUGCAGUAAGGUCAAGAAACUCUGCUGAGCAAUGGAGUAACAGAUUUCGUAGGCCACCCAUUGCCUGGGAGGCACACUGGAUGUGAAAGUGUAGUCACUCUACACCAAUGACUCCACCAGAAAAACAUCCCUCUGAACAGCUCCAAUGCUCAAGGUACAUCCAGGAACAGAGGGUCCAGGGAAUAGCAUAGAAUAAUUCAAUAUGGGCAACUAGAUACAGAUGUACUGAAAAGCUGAACACUGAGGAAGGUUGGGCAACCCAAAGACAAGUAAGUAUACAAAGUAUUCUCAGCUCUAGAGCUAGAAAGACAAAGAAAGAAUAUUGCUACUAGAAACUAAGUGCUAGGAGCACCGUGCAAGAGCUUGAAAGACGGAGAGGGUUCACCCAACAGCUACUAGAAUCGUGAAAGAGAAAGCAGAUACUGCCUUAAUCAACCCAAAACAGAGGGAGACAAUGAGAUAUAGGCAUGCUUCUCCCAUUCUCUUUCCCUCAAUCUCCUGCCUGUGUCUACAUUAGGUGAAAAUAUUGGGCGAGGACACAGACAAAGAAAUAGGUUUGAAAGCAAAUGGGCAAGUGAUUGACCCAACCUCCAAUCCACUCACAACUUGGUUCCAAAGAUAAAGUAUUUAAAGGAAAUCAAAUACUUAUUAUCUUUAUUCAGUAAUAUCCAAAUGUAUAUAUUUCUUUCUGGUUCUAAUAAUUAUUAUCAUCACGGUCAUUCUAACUCUACCACUAGUCUUUUCAGCAAAGUGCAGUGGGCAAAUGAAUUCACUUUGAUGAAACACGGCAUCAAUUUAAUGCCAGUGGGGCCAUCAGAAAGAUUCCAGUCACAUGGCUAUGUCUCUUGACACUUUAAAACCUACCAAAGAAGACACUUAUGUUAAGUCUACCAUAGGCGUUCUCUAGAUAAUUCAAAUUUUCACCACCCUUUAUCUUAUAUUAAAUGUAAUACAAAUAAAAUUUAAUUAUUACAUUAUUAUAUGCAGCAGUAUUCUCCAAUUUUUCCAUGGAAAUAAAAUUUUAGUGUGUACUAUCAUGUUCAUUAAUUCUUCGUGAAAAUUUUCUUCCCAACUUAGUAAUAAGCUUUCUUUCUUUCUUUAUUUUUUUGGUGAGGAAGAUUGGCCCUGAGCUAACAUCCAUUGCCAUUCUUCCUCUUUUUGC